Molecule: ribosomal RNA, 253 nt
Filed under: uncultured bacterium
Lineage: Bacteria
Description: partial 16S ribosomal RNA
Rfam family: Bacterial small subunit ribosomal RNA
Source: RNAcentral
UACAGAGGGUGCGAGCGUUAAUCGGAGUUACUGGGCGUAAAGGGCGCGUAGGUGGAAAAUUAAGUUGGAUGUAAAAUUCCUGGGCUUAACCUGGGGAGGUCAUUCAAUACUGGUUAUCUAGAGUGCUGUAGAGGGUAGUGGAAUUUCCGGUGUAGCGGUGAAAUGCGUAGAGAUCGGAAGGAACAUCAGUGGCGAAGGCGGCUACCUGGACAGACACUGACACUGAGGCGCGGGAGCGUGGGGAGCGAACAGG